UGGGGAAUCUUGCACAAUGGGGGCAACCCUGAUGCAGCGACGCCGCGUGAGCGAUGAAGCCCUUCGGGGCGUAAAGCUCUUUCGACCGGAACGAUAAUGACGGUACCGGGAGAAGAAGCUGCGGCUAACUACGUGCCAGCAGCCGCGGUAAUACGUAGGCAGCAAGCGUUGUUCGGAGUUACUGGGCGUAAAGAGUGCGUAGGCGGUUUUCUAAGUUCGGUGUGAAAUCUCCCGGCUUAACUGGGAGGGUGCGCCGAAGACUGGGAAGCUGGAGUGUGGGAAAGNCAGGCGGAAUUCCUGGUGUAGCUGUGAAAUGCGUAGAUAUCAGGAGGAACACCGGCGGUGUAGACGGCUUGCUAGACCAUAACUGACGCUGAGGCACGAAAGCGUGGGUAGCAAACA
Molecule: ribosomal RNA, 402 nt
Filed under: uncultured bacterium
Lineage: Bacteria
Description: bacterial SSU rRNA
Rfam family: Bacterial small subunit ribosomal RNA
Source: RNAcentral